This 369-nucleotide unclassified non-coding RNA is filed under the name Bursera microphylla. RNAcentral's name for it is "partial external transcribed spacer". Lineage: Eukaryota; Viridiplantae; Streptophyta; Magnoliopsida; Sapindales; Burseraceae. The record is from RNAcentral.
UUCGGUAUCCUGUGUUGCUUACCUAUCGAAAGGAAUCCGAUGGUUUCGUUGGUCCCUUUCCGCCCCAUGCCCUCGCGGGUUGUGGGGUGGACGUCAGGCAAGCCUCGUGUUCCCGGCACGCUUCGCCCAGUUGCGUGGCUGCCUCGGCCCACGGGGCGCAUUGCCCGUGCUCUCGGAUGCGGAACGUUACGCGCGGGCGUGGGGUCUUUUGGCUCCGUCGGCCCGAGCAACGCAUUUGUCCAUCGACACGAACGACCGUGGCGUCCGUCUUGAGCCCGCGGCCGUACGGCCCGUCGGGUCUCAUGCGGGCGUCGGCGUCGCGAAGGAAUGCUACCUGGUUGAUCCUGCCAGUAGUCAUAUGCUUGUCUC